RNAcentral lists this unclassified non-coding RNA (386 nucleotides) under soil metagenome. RNAcentral's name for it is "partial contains 5.8S ribosomal RNA, internal transcribed spacer 2, and large subunit ribosomal RNA". The stretch from base 1 to 120 matches the Rfam family "5.8S ribosomal RNA", at positions 35 to 154 of the family's 154-position model. The record is from RNAcentral.
GAUGAAGAACGUAGCGAAAUGCGAUAAGUAAUGUGAAUUGCAGAAUUCAGUGAAUCAUCGAAUCUUUGAACGCACCUUGCGCUCCUUGGUAUUCCGAGGAGCAUGCCUGUUUGAGUGUCAUUAAAUUCUGAACCUCACCAGUUUUCUGAACUGUUCUCCGAGGCUUGGAUGUGGGGGUUUGUGCAGGUUGCCUCAGCGCGGUCUGCUCCCCUGAAAUGCAUUAGCGAGUUCGAUACUGAGCUCCGUCUAUUGGUGUGAUAAUUAUCUACGCCGUGGAUCGGGGCUUAGACUCGCUUCUAACCGUCCGCAAGGACAAUACCUUGACAAUUUGACCUCAAAUCAGGUAGGACUACCCGCUGAACUUAAGCAUAUCAAUAAGCGGAGGA